Molecule: non-coding RNA, 1661 nt
Organism: Castor canadensis (American beaver)
Lineage: Eukaryota; Metazoa; Chordata; Mammalia; Rodentia; Castoridae
Source: RefSeq, a predicted model, not a curated record
UGUGCUGGAUCGAAGGGUAUUUUUGCCACUGGAGGAAAGUGGAAGUCGACCUCCUAGUACUCAAGAGACUAGUAGCAGUCUCUUGCCACAGAGCCCAGUCCCAACAGAGCAUAUGAAUGCCAAUGAGAUGCCGGAGGACACCAGCACUCCGGAAGAGAUGCCACCUCCAGAGCCCCCAGAGCCACCACAAGAGGCAGUUGAAGCUGAGAAGUAGCCUAGCUAUGGAAGAGACUUUUGUUUGUGUUUAAUUAGGGCUAUGAGAGAUUUCAGGGGAGAAGAUAAACCUGAGACAGAGAACAAAUAAGCUGUUCCUUUUUCUGUUUUUCUUUGGUCUUGAGUCACCCAAUUGCACACUGGCAUUUUAUUGCUGCAAGCUUUUUUUAAAUUUCUAGACUCAAGGUAGUGGCAGAAGAUGUCAGUCACCUCUGGAAACUAUACAAAUUGGUCUCUUGGGACUUGGCACUGGUUUCCCAUGGCCUCAGCCACAAGGUCUCCUUGGACUCCCCUCUCUUCCCUCCAGAUCUCAGCUCUCCUGUUUGGGGUCAUUGGUCCCAUUCUGGGGCUAAAGAUUCUUGAGACUGCCUCAAGUCCUUUUAAGCUGCUGCAUGUCCUGAGGCAGUCACAGAGACCUCUGGCUAGGGACUGCUAACUGGGUUCUUAGUUCCUUCAGAAUUGAUGAGGUUUAGAGAGUGAGGUUAGAGGAUUCUACUGGCCACAAAGUGCCAGCAUUGCUAGCCAGUCCUUUUAGGAAUAGGGCAGAUACCUUCCACUUGUACUUAUUUGUGUAGCUUCUCUUUUCUCUCCCAUCUACUCUCCAAUAUCCAACUUCCAGUCUUUUCCCACUAGAUAUAUGUAAGUAGUCAUAGUAGAGAUAACAAUUUACAUUUUUUGUAGAUUCUUCAAAAACUUUUCAAUACUUACGCUAUUCUCAGUAAGAACUGAUGAGAUGCCAACAACAUAGCCCCUCACACUCUCUGUCUCAUCUCUCCUCCUUUCUCAUUAGCCCAUUUUACUUUUUGUCUUUUGACUCUUGCUCCAAUUAGGAGCUGGAAUGGCAGUAAUAAAAGUCUGCACUUUGGUGUUCCUUUUCCUCAGAGGAAGCCCAAGUGCUCACUUAAACACUACCCCCUCAGACUCCGUGUGUGAGGCCUGCAGAGGCCCUGAAUGCACAAAUGGGGAAAUCAAGGCACAGAGAGGCUCUCCUCUCCUCUCCUCUCCCUCUAUGUCCCCUCAAAAAAAAAAAAAAAAGAAAAAGCAAAAAAGCUAACCAGUACUUCCAUUAAGCCUCGGCUGAGUGAGGGAAAGCCCAGCACUGCUGCCCUUCCGGGUAACCCACUCUAAGGCCUCAGCCCAACUUGGGCAAUGGUAACCACACCAGGGGCUUCCUCCAAGCCCCACUCUUCCAGCACUUCCACCGGCAGAGUCCCAGAGCCAUUUCACCCUGGGGGUGGGCUGUGGCCCCCAGUCAGCUCUGCUGAGGACCUGCACUAUUUCAGGGAAGAAGAUUUAUGUAUUAUAUGUGGCUAUAUUUCCUAGAGCACCUGUGUUUUUCUCUUUCUAAGCCAGGGUCCUGUCUGGAUGACUUACGGGGACUGGGGUGGGUGGGUGUAAACCAGAACUUUUAAUCUAUUUGAAGGUGAUUAAACUGUGUCUAAUGCAAA